Molecule: ribosomal RNA, 497 nt
Filed under: uncultured bacterium
Lineage: Bacteria
Description: partial 16S ribosomal RNA
Rfam family: Bacterial small subunit ribosomal RNA
Source: RNAcentral
GAUGAACGCUGGCGGCGUGCCUAAUACAUGCAAGUCGAGCGAACAGACGAGGAGCUCGCUCCUUUGACGUUAGCGGCGGACGGGUGAGUAACACGUAGGUAACCUACCUAUAAGACUGGGAUAACUUCGGGAAACCGGAGCUAAUACCGGAUAAUAUUUCGAACCGCAUGGUUCGAUAGUGAAAGAUGGCUUUGCUAUCACUUAUAGAUGGACCUGCGCCGUAUUAGCUAGUUGGUAAGGUAACGGCUUACCAAGGCAACGAUACGUAGCCGACCUGAGAGGGUGAUCGGCCACACUGGAACUGAGACACGGUCCAGACUCCUACGGGAGGCAGCAGUAGGGAAUCUUCCGCAAAGGGCGAAAGCCUGACGGAGCAACGCCGCGUGAGUGAUGAAGGUCUUCGGAUCGUAAAACUCUGUUAUUAGGGAAGAACAAACGUGUAAGUAACUGUGCACGUCUUGACGGUACCUAAUCAGAAAGCCACGGCUAACUACGUG